CCUACGGGAGGCAGCAGUGGGGAAUAUUGGACAAUGGGGGCAACCCUGAUCCAGCCAUGCCGCGUGUGUGAAGAAGGCCCUCGGGUUGUAAAGCACUUUCAGUGAGGAAGAACGCCUGGUGGUUAAUACCCAUCAGGAAAGACAUCACUCACAGAAGAAGCACCGGCUAACUCCGUGCCAGCAGCCGCGGUAAUACGGAGGGUGCGAGCGUUAAUCGGAAUUACUGGGCGUAAAGCGCGCGUAGGUGGCUUGGUAAGCCGGUUGUGAAAGCCCCGGGCUCAACCUGGGAACGGCAUCCGGAACUGUCAAGCUAGAGUGCAGGAGAGGAAGGUAGAAUUCCCGGUGUAGCGGUGAAAUGCGUAGAGAUCGGGAGGAAUACCAGUGGCGAAGGCGGCCUUCUGGACUGACACUGACACUGAGGUGCGAAAGCGUGGGUAGCAAACAGGAUUAGAUACCCCAGUAGUC
Molecule: ribosomal RNA, 465 nt
Filed under: Vreelandella stevensii
Lineage: Bacteria; Pseudomonadati; Pseudomonadota; Gammaproteobacteria; Oceanospirillales; Halomonadaceae
Description: partial 16S ribosomal RNA
Rfam family: Bacterial small subunit ribosomal RNA
Source: RNAcentral